AUAUUGCACUGCUGUUAAACAAUUUCUGUUAUUUGGCAAGAAGAACACGACAGAUAGAUAAAACUGAAACAGUAAAACUACCUACUAUUCCUUACCUCAGGCAGACACAACUAAGAAUUUAAUGUAGUCUUCAGAACAACUCAUCUCAAAGCUUCGAAUGGCUGCUUGGGUAUCUAGAAAGAGAUCAUGAAGAGUAAAACUGUAGAUGUACAAAAUGAAAUAGACCUGUACAGCAAAGGAAAGGAUGAGCAGAUGAGAGAUUCAAGAAGAAUUUUCGUAAAUGAAAGGUAAAUUUAACAGUAGAAUAUAGAAUUAUCAGAUGUGUUUGGAAGACCAACAGCAUGAGUAAGACAAUCCCCCCAAAACCAAAUUGACCCCCUUGGAAAAUGGAAGUAACUUGAGAAUACAGGCAUGAACUAAAAAUAAGUCAUUGAAACCAACAACUAGUUAUUUAAUGUAUUCAGAGAGAAUUGGGAAAUCAUCACAUCCAUAAAAUGAUAGUACAGUGAAAAAAUCUGUACUCUGUGUCAGGGUGUGUGUGUGUAUGUGUGUGUUUAAGUAUAUAUGGGUAAGAACCAGGAAAAUCUUCAUAAAGGAAGCGCUGCGCUGAGCUUAUUGAAAAAGUAGAUGCACUGUUCUCCAGAGAGAUAGAGAAGCAGGGCAUUUGGGGCAGAGGAAGCAACAUUAACAAAACACAGUGAAGUCCAGAAAACUGUAGAUAACUGCACAGAGAUUACAGGGCUGAAGUGUGCAUAGAAAGAGGUCAGCCUGCUGAGGUAGACAUGAACUAGUUCAUAAAGGGCUCCAGACUUUUGAAGCCAUGCUAAAGAGUUGGUAUGUUUUUGUUUGUUUGAUUAUAUUGUCGGUAAUGAGAAACAAACACUUUUGUGGAGAUAAUUGAGGAAGGGAUUUAUAUGAUCAAAUGUGCUUCAGGUUGAUUGCGCUGAGUGCUGUUUGCUAGAUGGAUGCCAAAGGUUAAGACUUGAAGCAGGAAAAAGAACCAAUCGAUGAGAGAGCUUGAGCUAAGGUGGUGGCAUUGGGGCAAGACUGCACUUAGUUGAGCCUGGUGGCAACAUUUAUCUAGACAGAGAAUAUAGGAUGAGGAGC
This 1107-nucleotide long non-coding RNA is filed under the name Camelus dromedarius (Arabian camel). RNAcentral's name for it is "lncRNA (ENSCDRG00005000675.1)". The record is from RNAcentral. Lineage: Eukaryota; Metazoa; Chordata; Mammalia; Artiodactyla; Camelidae.